UGGUUAGAGGAGGCAGGUAGCCUAGUGGUUAGAGGAGGCAGGUAGCCUAGUGGUUAGAGGAGGCAGGUAGUCUAGUGGUUAGAGGAGGCAGGUAGCCUAGUGGUUAGAGGAGGCAGGCAGCCUAGUGGUUAGAGGAGGCAGGUAGCCUAGUGGUUAGAGGAGGCAGGUAGCCUAGUGGUUAGAGGAGGCAGGUAGCCUAGUGGUUAGAGGAGGCAGGUGGCCUAGUGGUUAGAGGAGGCAGGUAGCCUAGUGGUUAGAGGAGGCAGGUAGCCUAGUGGUUAGAGGAGGGAGGCAGGUAGCCUAGUGGUUAGAGGAGGCAGGUAGCCUAGUGGGUAGAGGAGGCAGGUAGCCUAGUGGGUAGAGGAGGGAGGUAGCCUAGUGGUUAGAGGAGGCAGGUAGCCUAGUGGUUAGAGGAGGCAGGUAGCCUAGUGGGUAGAGGAGGGAGGUAGCCUAGUGGUUAGAGGAGGCAGGUAGCCUAGUGGUUAGAGGAGGCAGGUAGCCUAGUGGUUAGAGGAGGGAGGUAGCCUAGUGGUUAGAGGAGGCAGGUAGCCUUGUGGUUAGAGGAGGGAGGUAGCCUUGUGGUUAGAGGAGGCAGGUAGCCUAGUGGUUAGAGGAGGCAGGUAGCCUAGUGGUUAGAGGAGGCAGGUAGCCUAGUGGUUAGAGGAGGCAGGUAGCCUA
Molecule: long non-coding RNA, 678 nt
Organism: Oncorhynchus tshawytscha (Chinook salmon)
Lineage: Eukaryota; Metazoa; Chordata; Actinopteri; Salmoniformes; Salmonidae
Source: Ensembl